This is a long non-coding RNA of Vespa velutina, 2145 nucleotides long. RefSeq lists it as uncharacterized. The record is from RefSeq and is a predicted model, not a curated record. The transcript has 2 exons. Lineage: Eukaryota; Metazoa; Arthropoda; Insecta; Hymenoptera; Vespidae.
UUAAAAAUUCGAAACAUUUAUUCGUACAUAUAUUUUAUUUUGUUUUGAGAAAAAGUCAAUGCAUCUUAUUGAAUUUUUUUCAUCAAUUCUGAAAAAAAAAAAAGAAAGAUUUGCGAGAAUUCGUUGAUGAAUUUUCCAUUUAUCGAAGAAAGCAAAAAGCGUCGAGAUAUCUAUCUAUGUGUAUACCUCGAAUGAUCUUUCGACCACAACGUCGACUACAAGUUUGCGGUUUUAAAAUCAUCCAAGCAGUCAUUUCACUACGGCCUGCUUCUACUUCUCUAUCUUCCAUUUGCGUCAGUGCCCGUUAAACAUCACGGGAUUGUCCAGUGAGACAAUUUCUAACUCGAUAUAGUUAUUGUUCCUAUCAUUAUUUUAUUUACUUCCUUGGACUGAUUCAGUUAAUAAAAAAACUUAAGAUAUGAUUCAUAGUUCAAAGUCGUAAGAAAUUUUCUAUAAAAUCAACUCAACGACAACAAAAAAAAAAAUAAAAGAAGAAAGGAGGAAGAGAAAGGAACAAUCAAGGUCAUGUCUAAACAAAGCUCGUGACAUCAGGCAAGAUAGCACGAAUAACCUCGGAUAGCCCGCAUCAAAUAGCGCCAUUGGUCGAACAUAGAUUCGAAUGAAUCCUGUCGAAAGAUAAAUUGGAAUGGUAAAGAAGGCCGCAAUCCAGAAUUUACGAUAUCUUAUAGUACUCACCGAAAAGCAAAAGCUAACGUCGGUUUUAUAGGUAUGACCAAUGUAUAUUUACUAUGUACAUAUAUAGAACACGUCUAGGAACUUGGAAAAAAGGAAAAAAGCUUUCACACGAAGAAGUAAUAUAUAUCUACAUAUAUCUGAAAGCAUCGAAAGGUGAAGGAAAGGCACACCCUAAAAGCGAUUUGACUCACGAAAUGGAAGGAUAGUCGACACGCCCUUCUUUUCCUCGUAUCUCAACCAGAUGUUUCCUCGUUAAUUAGUAGUAGUAUAUAUUUUUAUCAAAUAUAUUGUGUAAGUCAGGUAAAACAUAUUUCGUACACGUAAUUAACUUAUUUUAAUAACGAUUUAAACAAGACGUCUAAGAUUUUUAUAAAAAUAGAAAUAUUGAAUUUUAUAUUCAAAAGGAACGAUAGUAAUUCCAAUAUUUUAUGCUAUAAAAGAGAUUUUUCAUAUAGAUAUUAUGAAAUAUUUUAUAUAUAUAUAAAUAUGUGUGUAUAUAUAUAUCUGUUUAUAGAGGGUAUUUUAGAAAUAGAUGGCCAAACUAUAAUAACACUUUUAUUCAUUGUAAGGAUGAAAAAAAUUAUAUAAACAUGGGUCCGGAAACGCUUUCUCUCUAAGUUAUAAACAGUUUUUAUUUAUAACAGAUUUUAAGAACAUUCGAAACUGUUACAACAUUUUAAACAGAAACUACUGAAAAUGUUUUCCUUUUACGUUAAUGCAUGCCUUGCAUUGACCAUGCUGCAUGGGUUGCCGAUGCGAAGCAUGUUGCUUAAUGUAAAUAUAAAAUGUUUAUAACUUGGAAAGGAAGCGUUUUCGGAUCCAUGUUUAUAUGAUUUUUUUCCAUCCUUUCAGUGAGUUGAAUAUUUUCUUAAAAUUUAGUGAUCUAUUUCUGAAAUACCCUGUAUAUUACAUCUUACAUAUAUUUAUUUUAUCUAUAUAUAUUAUAUAGCGAUUUCGUAUAAAUAAUAAUCAUUACAAAUGUUGUUUUUUCCUCGGAAGCUUUAAACCUUUCGGUUUUAUUUCAUCGACAUGGAAUAAAUUUAUUUAGGUUUUAGGUAUUUAUAUAAUGCUCGAAGGGAGAAAACCCUUUUCUAAUCUAUUUUCAAAUAUCUUUAAUAUUUAUCCUAUAUGUUUUCACAACGACUUUAAGGUUGUUUCUUAUGAGGCACGAUGGAAAGAAAGCACCGUUGACAUUUGCAUUUUCUACCUGCUGAGAAACAGAUUCUUCGCGAUUGAAUUGACGUAACGACAUGCGAAAUGCACUAAUUAUAAGUCACUCGGUCGGUUUCUUGUUUACUCACAUCGAGCGAAUAACGUUUUGGAUAAUAUCAGUUAUGGCAAGCAAACGAAUCUUAUCGAUUAAUUAAUAGAAAGUUAAUAAGCGUUAAAGAAGAUAAAUAUCAUACAACAAAUGUUCUAAAAAUAAAUAUUAAUAAUUUUUAUUCUCAA